Molecule: ribosomal RNA, 305 nt
Filed under: uncultured bacterium
Lineage: Bacteria
Description: bacterial SSU rRNA
Rfam family: Bacterial small subunit ribosomal RNA
Source: RNAcentral
UCCUACGGGGGGCAGCAGUGGGGAAUAUUGCACAAUGGGGGAAACCCUGAUGCAGCGACGCCGCGUGAGUGAGGAAGUAUUUCGGUAUGUAAAGCUCUAUCAGCAGGGAAGAAAAUGACGGUACCUGACUAAGAAGCCCCGGCUAACUACGUGCCAGCAGCCGCAGUAAUACGGAGGAUGCGAGCGUUAUCCGGAUUUAUUGGGUUUAAAGGGUGCGCAGGCGGCGAGUUAAGUCAGCGGUAAAAUUUCGGGGCUCAACCCCGACGAGCCGUUGAAACUGGCUUGCUAGGGUGGGCGAGAAGUAU